GCCUGGGUGGCUCAGUUGGUUAAGCGUCUGACUUUGGCUCAGGUCAUGAUCUCGCAGUUUGUGGGUUUGAGCCCUGCAUCGGGCU
This 85-nucleotide transfer RNA is filed under the name Felis catus (domestic cat). It matches the Rfam family "tRNA". Rfam says of the family: Transfer RNA (tRNA) molecules are approximately 80 nucleotides in length. Their secondary structure includes four short double-helical elements and three loops (D, anti-codon, and T loops). Lineage: Eukaryota; Metazoa; Chordata; Mammalia; Carnivora; Felidae. The record is from Rfam by way of RNAcentral.